Hyaena hyaena (striped hyena) is the source of this 638-nucleotide long non-coding RNA. RefSeq lists it as uncharacterized. The transcript has 5 exons. NCBI's taxonomy places the organism in Eukaryota, Metazoa, Chordata, Mammalia, Carnivora, Hyaenidae. The record is from RefSeq and is a predicted model, not a curated record.
GGUGCGCCGCAGGGGACGAAUCCCAACCACUCAAUCCCCUUCCCCCUGCGCACACGGGCAAUGCGUGCCCUGGCGAUGACGAUUGGGGCACCACGGUGGGGUUCUUCACUGCACUGGGCUCGCUGUCGCUCUAGAAACGUCGGCAGCAGGGCGCAUGGAGUAGUGUGCCCGGGUUCGGCUGUGCCAUCGGCCUGGGACGUUUCCAGGAGCGAGGCUGUGAUAAGCACGGCCAGGGAAAGCACAGGGGACCAGUAGCAAUGUCAGCUACUUGAUCCAUCUUGAAACACAGCUGGAGGGUAAAGCUUGUGAGAGUCGGCGGCUUAUGUGAAGGUGGCUCACCUGAAAGCUAGCUUGGCCCACCUGCUGCUGCUGCUCCUUCAAGAACCCCAAUUGCUAAAACCAUCACUAUGCAGAUGAAUGGGGGUGGUGAUGGUGGCAUCCUUAGUUUCCUGUCAGAGUAUACCAGGUUUUAUUCAUUCCAAGAGUGGGCUGUAUCACAUGAUCAAGUCUCUGACAGCCGUCUGCCCAUGUGGAACACAGAGGACAAGGAGCCCACACUAGGGAUGUGGACUGCCAUCUUCAAGACUGCCACCCAUCUGGGGGAAGUGAAGUCAAGGGAAAUUUUCCAUUUAAGUGCC